This 468-nucleotide ribosomal RNA is filed under the name uncultured bacterium. RNAcentral describes it as "partial 16S ribosomal RNA". It matches the Rfam family "Bacterial small subunit ribosomal RNA", at positions 28 to 507 of the family's 1533-position model. The record is from RNAcentral.
GACGAACGCUGGCGGCGUGCUUAACACAUGCAAGUCGAACGGAAAGGCCCUGCUUUUGUGGGGUGCUCGAGUGGCGAACGGGUGAGUAACACGUGAGUAACCUGCCCUUGUCUUUGGGAUAACUUCAGGAAACUGGGGCUAAUACCGGAUAGGAGCUCCUGCUGCACGGUGGGGGUUGGAAAGUUUCGGCUGUUGGGGAUGGACUCGCGGCUUAUCAGCUUGUUGGUGGGGUAGUGGCUUACCAAGGCUUUGACGGGUAGCCGGCCUGAGAGGGUGACCGGCCACAUUGGGACUGAGAUACGGCCCAGACUCCUACGGGAGGCAGCAGUGGGGAAUAUUGCACAAUGGGCGGAAGCCUGAUGCAGCAACGCCGCGUGCGGGAUGACGGCCUUCGGGUUGUAAACCGCUUUCGCCUGUGACGAAGCGUGAGUGACGGUAAUGGGUAAAGAAGCACCGGCUAACUACGUG